UAGUCCGCACGGUAAACGAUGGAUGCUCGCUAUCGGCGCUUGGCGUCGGUGGCAACGCGAAAGCUUUAAGCAUCCCACCUGGGGAGUACGCCGGCAACGGUGAAACUCAAAGGAAUUGACGGGGGCCCGCACAAGCGGAGGAACAUGUGGUUUAAUUCGAUGAUACGCGAGGAACCUUACCCGGGCUUGAAUCGCGGAAGGUUUAUCCGGAGACGGGUAUUCCCCUCGGGGCUUCCGCG
Molecule: ribosomal RNA, 239 nt
Filed under: uncultured bacterium
Lineage: Bacteria
Description: partial 16S ribosomal RNA
Rfam family: Bacterial small subunit ribosomal RNA
Source: RNAcentral